CGGCAAUUGCUCAAAUUUAAAAUCUGACUUCUUUUGAGGUCCGAAUUGUAAUUUGCAGAGGAUGCUUUUGACAAGGUGCCUUCCGAGUUCCCUGGAACGGGACGCCAUAGAGGGUGAGAGCCCCGUCUGGUCGGAUACCGCGUCUCUGUAAAGCUCCUUCGAC
This 163-nucleotide ribosomal RNA is filed under the name Hypocreales sp. RNAcentral describes it as "partial large subunit ribosomal RNA". It matches the Rfam family "Eukaryotic large subunit ribosomal RNA", at positions 99 to 261 of the family's 3401-position model. Lineage: Eukaryota; Fungi; Ascomycota; Sordariomycetes; Hypocreales. The record is from RNAcentral.